Molecule: ribosomal RNA, 207 nt
Filed under: uncultured bacterium
Lineage: Bacteria
Description: partial 16S ribosomal RNA
Rfam family: Bacterial small subunit ribosomal RNA
Source: RNAcentral
UGCGUAGGCGGUCGGCUAAGUCUGAUGUGAAAUCUCCGGGCUCAACCCGGAAACUGCAUCGGAUACUAGUCGGCUAGAGGAUUGGAGGGGGGACUGGAAUUCUCGGUGUAGCAGUGAAAUGCGUAGAUAUCGAGAGGAACACCAGUGGCGAAGGCGAGUCCCUGGACAAUUCCUGACGCUGAGGCAUGAAAGCUAGGGGAGCAAACA